GCUCUCUAUCCUCACCUCCAUCUCCUGGAUUUUCUAGAUCCUUUAGGAUUCAAUUCAGGGCUCUCCUUCUCCAUGAGAUCUUCCUUGAUUCUCCCAAACAUUAUUGCUCCCUAACUCAACAUCAUCAUUAUAUUGUAUAGGAAGGAGCUCGGUGACUCUGUGGAUUGACAGCCAGACCUGGAGAUGAUGAAGAAAGUGACCUUUCUAAGGGAAGAAGACUCGAGGUCAAAUGGUUCUACCAUCCCUUCUAGUUCUAAGAUUCCAAAAUCUAAGUCUUCAAUUUUGUUGAGAUCCAACCAUGAGAAGAACUAUAAAAGGAGAGAAGGAAGUUUGGCUUUUUGAAGAACUCAGGAUGAGCAAGAAGAGGACAGUCCACCAGGCAACAUGCCAAGGUAAGAAAGAGGUCACUUGGCCACUCCCAAAGCUUGAGUCAUCAACUAGGUAGAAGAAAGGCUCUAACCAAAAUCCAAAAAGAGGAAUAACCAAAAUCCUCCUUUAAGACUUCAAGGGCCUUGUUCAAU
This 521-nucleotide long non-coding RNA is filed under the name Monodelphis domestica (gray short-tailed opossum). RNAcentral describes it as "lncRNA (ENSMODG00000036020.2)". The record is from RNAcentral. Lineage: Eukaryota; Metazoa; Chordata; Mammalia; Didelphimorphia; Didelphidae.